GGGCUGGUCAGCUCAGUCAGUUGAGCGUGGUGCUAACAACGCUAAGGUCACGGGCUCGAUUCCCGUUUGCUCCC
Molecule: transfer RNA, 74 nt
Filed under: Apaloderma vittatum (bar-tailed trogon)
Lineage: Eukaryota; Metazoa; Chordata; Aves; Trogoniformes; Trogonidae
Rfam family: tRNA
About the family: Transfer RNA (tRNA) molecules are approximately 80 nucleotides in length.
Source: Rfam by way of RNAcentral